GUCAUCGAGUCGUGAACAAAAUGUCUGGGAUUCGCGGACAGAAACGAGCACGCGCGAAUGCAUCAUACGCCGAAAGCAGAGAACGAGAGAAGGCAGAUAAUAAAGCACGAGACUUGUUACAUUUUUACGCAAAGGCACGGCACAGCCGACCGGGAGGCGUGCGCGGGUGUUGGAGGAGAUGGGAACAAAAAGUGGGAACCUCAGAUAGGACGAGGGUGGAGGCAAAAACGGAAGAUGCGUUCUGGUUUUUCGUUAGAACUCGAGGAACCUGUCUCGAGAUAAUUACACCGUCUUUCCGUGAUUUUAAUAAACGUGUGGGCGAAUGGAAAUAAAGCAACGUCUUGUCGCUGGUAAUUCUUUUAACGAAAUGAAAAUUUAACAGCGAUGCGAAAGAGGAUGAAAGAAACCAACGCUCAGCGUGCCUCCUCCUUAUCCAUCUCACUGAAGGUGACAGUUCAAUGGUCGAUUCGAAGUCAUCGAGGUGAUACGCGCUAAUUUGAUUAAUCUUCGAUUAAUUGGGCGAUUAAUUAGACCAGGAUCGAAGAUCAAUGGUGUUCUACCGUAUCGGGUUCAACGAUGCGUCGCAUAAGCGGACGUAUAAUUUUACCAGGGGCGACGUCUCCAUGUAAACCCUCAUGAACGUGAUCUACUUACGUACGUCGGGGCGCGGUGAUGGAACGUUGAGAUGUACAUAGCUUCUACUACGAACAGGUGAACUCUUUAUUGUGUUCGACUUAAGCAUACUCUUUGAAAGUUUACUGCUCGAGUAUACGAAUUCGUUACGUAUUGGUGUAUACUAGAGAAUAAGAGUGAUCAUACAACGUAAGCUGCGUGACUCAAUCAU
Long non-coding RNA from Ceratina calcarata, 844 nucleotides. RefSeq lists it as uncharacterized. The transcript has 3 exons. The record is from RefSeq and is a predicted model, not a curated record. Lineage: Eukaryota; Metazoa; Arthropoda; Insecta; Hymenoptera; Apidae.